GGGCCCCGCGGAGGAGGGGACGCGAUGAAGUUCCCCCCCGUACGUGCCCCUUUUCGUGAGAAACACCCAAGAUUUGGUGAAGAGCAUCUUUCUAGAGGGAAAUGUUUUAAAAUGUCCUCUCCAGGCUCAGCUCCUGAGGAAAAAGCAGCUUUUGGGGUAUUUUCAUGCAGAAAACUUGAAAUUUGACUGUGCCAAGAGUUGCUAAAAUGAUUUAAAAUUUUAAAUUAUGGCUUAAACCAGCUGGAAAUGGGCAGAUUAUUGCUGUAAAAAUGAUCGUUGAGAUAAACCUUGCCUAAAAUCAGGGUAUUUCUGGGGGAGGCCUUUUCCUGCACCUGAAAUGGGGGGAAAAAUUUACAUUUGAGAGCCUUAAUGGUGGAAUAGCCCAGAAAAUAAUUAAUAAGGAAAAUUUUUCUCCUGCGGGAAACGCCCCAAAAAUGUCGGAACAGCUCCUCCCACACCCCCAAAAUGCCUCAUUGUUUUCGUCAGCAGCUUUAAUUAGCCCCAGAACAGCUUUAAUGAAUGAUAAUUAAAAGGUUGGGGAGGGGGGUUGUCCCCUCCCUGCCAGCAUUCUUGGGGUGUCAUUUCCUGCCCGGAAACGCCUCAAAAAGCCAAAAAAGUGCUUUAAAUUGCCUAAAAAAUGCCUUAAAAUGCCUCAAAAUAGUGAGGGUUUAUUCCAUUUCUUGAAAACAGGGACUUCCAUGACUCAGCAUGGCCUGAAAUGGGGUGAAACACAAAGAUUUUGAUGCAUUUCUGUCGUAGAAAAGGAAAUUAAAAUGGUGGUUAAGGCUGUGCUGGAUCAGGGUAGAAAAAAGAGUUUAAAAAGGGUUGUUCAGCCUUUUUGGGGAACAAAAACUGGUGAAAAUUUGGGCUUUGGGGUCUGUGUUCCCUCAAGAACGUUUUUUUCCUCAAGAUUUGUGACCCUUUUGAGGAGAAACGGCGCCUUUUUGGCAGCGGCCCAGCCCCGUGACGCAGCAAAAAAAAAAAAAAAAAAGUAAAAUGAAUGAAUAAAAAAGAAAAUAAAAAACCUCUAAAGCCACCCGGGAAGGUCGAAGCGAGGGAUUUUAGGGCAGAACUGGCCAAACCGAACAAAAAAAAUCUCUGUUAAAUUUAACCAUUUUCGUACUGGACCGCGUGGGCCGGCCGAAGGCCCACGGCCUCGGGGGGAGGGGGGGGCACAGUUUGUGAGGGGAAAAAAUCGAAGAAAAGGGUAAAAAAAGUGAAAUAAUGAAAAAAGAAGCUUUUUCACACUGCGGGCGGUAGAUUUGGGGGGGGAUUUUGGGGGUUGCUGCCCUUUUUUGGCGAUUUUAGGGACUAUUUUGUCGCCCCCGCGGGGGCGGUGCUGGGCCGCUUAUAAGGGAGGGCCCCGCGCCGGCUGCGCCCGGCCGAGAACCAGCCCCGACACGGCCCGAAUUCGGCUCAAAAUCGCUUAGAGCUGCUCGAUUUUAUACAAAAAAGCUCCUAAAAUGGCUUUAUUUCUUACCGAGGGCUCCAAAAAUGGCUUUAUUGCCUACGAGAAGCUCUUAAAGCUGCGAUAUUUUAUAGAAAGAGCUCCAAAGACUGCUUUAUUUCAUAAAAGCAGCUCUUAAAUCUUUAUUUAAAGAAAAGAGACAAAAGCUGUUUCCUUUAUGGAAAACUGAGCUCUUAAAGCUGCUUGGUUUCUAUAUAAAUCCUUAAAUUGCGGCGAUUCCACUAAUGGGAAAAGCCGGGGCGAGCCGGGGCACUUUUAAUUGAAAAAAAUGAAUGAAAAACCUUAAAAAAGCUCUUAAAGCUGGUUUUUAUUCAAACCGAACCUUCUAGUGCUGGUUUUUAAGAAAUCGCCGCUUUCAAAGCCGAUUUCUGGGAGAAAAUGCAGCUCUCGCAGGUCUUUAAUUCUUAAAAUAUCCUAAUGUGAUAUUUUCAAAAAGCCGGAGCAAAGCUGGGGCGAUUUUACUUAAAAAAGAGCUUUUUAAGCUUCUUUAAUUUAAAGAAAGAAAAAGCGCUUGAUACGCUGUUUUCUGCUAAAAAAGCUCCUAAAUCGAAUUUUAUUUUUAAAAGCUCCUAAAGCUUUUUAAAAAUGUAGAUUUGUCCCCAAGUGGGGCCGGGCCGGGCAGCGCAGGCGGGGGCGGCCGGUUUGGGGUGAAAUGCGGCAUUUUCAGGAUCAGGAUGGAUUGAGAGGAGCCAAUUUUGAGGGAAGAGCAGGAAAACUGAAGAGUGAAGAUGGAGUCGGCAGGGAAAGGAAAAGUUUUUCUUCGCAGUGGCCCCAUCUGGAGGGAAAAAAGGACUUUUUGGUAAAAUGGCGGCAGUUGAGCAGGGGAGGAGCAGAGAGAAGAGAGGAGAAAAAGGAGAGAAAGACAGAAAAUAGAACAAAAAAGAGAGAGAAAAUAGAAGAAAAUCAGAAAAAAAAAAGAAAAUAGAAAACCUUAGAAAAAAGAAAACAGAAACAAAACUGAAAAAAUAGAAAUUGGAAAAAAGAAAAUUGAAAAAGCAUAGAAAAAAUGGAAAAAAAAGAAAAUAGAAAAUUAUAGGAAAAAAAGAGAAGAAAAUUGGAGAAUAGAAGAAACUAGAAAAAUAAUUAGAAAAUUUGAGAAAAUAGAAGAAAUUAGAAAAAUGAAAAUCGAACAAAUAGAAGAAUAUAGAAAAAUAAUAGAAAAAUGAAAAUAGACUGUAAAUAAAUAGAAAAAAUGCAAUUAGAAAAAUGAAACUAGAAAAAAAGAAAAUAGAAAAUUGUAGAAAAAAAAGAAAAA
This is a non-coding RNA of Agelaius phoeniceus (red-winged blackbird), 2723 nucleotides long. NCBI's taxonomy places the organism in Eukaryota, Metazoa, Chordata, Aves, Passeriformes, Icteridae. The record is from RefSeq and is a predicted model, not a curated record.